AUCCACCUGACGAGUCCCAAAUAGGACGAAACGCGCGUCCUGAAU
Molecule: non-coding RNA, 45 nt
Filed under: Schistosoma mansoni
Lineage: Eukaryota; Metazoa; Platyhelminthes; Trematoda; Strigeidida; Schistosomatidae
Source: RNAcentral